GUUCGAUUCUGGCUCAAGAUUGAACGCUGGCGGAUCACCCCGCCAUGCAAGUCGACGGCACUUCACGGACUUCGGUCCCCGGUGGCGAGUGGCGAGAACGGGUGAGUAAUGUAUCCGGAACGUGCCUAGUGGCGGGGGAUAACUACGCGAAAGCGUAGCUAAUACCGCAUACGCCCUUCGAGGAAAGCAAGGACCUUCCCGGGCCUCGCACUAUUAAACGACUGAUAUCGGAUUAGCUAGUUGGUGGGGAUAACGACCGCAAGGCGACAAUCCGUAGCUGGUUUGAGGACGACCAGCCACACUGGGACCAGAGACACGGCCCAGACUCCUACGGGGAGAGCAGCAGUGGGGAAUUUUGGACAAUGGGAAGCCUGAUCCAGCCAUCCCGCGUGUGCGAUGAAGGCCUUCGGGGUUGCCGGCACUUUUGGCAGGAAAGAAACGGCACGGGAUAAUACCCCGUGCAACUGACGACUACCUGCCAGAAUAAGCACCGGCUAACUACGUGCCAGCAGCCGCGGUAAUACGUAGGGUGCAAGCGUUAAUCGGAAUUACUGGGCGCUCAACGUGCGCAACCGUUCAGAAAGAAAAGAUGUAAAUCCCAAACGCUUUGGAACUGCAUUUUUAACUACCGAGCUAGAGUGUGUCAGAGGGAGGUGGAAUUCCACGUGUAGCAGUGAAAUGCGUAGAUAUGCGGAGGAACACCGAUGGCGAAGGCAAUAUCCUGGGAUAACACACUGACGCUCAUGCACGAAAGCGUGGGAGCAAACAGGAUUAGAUGCCACCUGUUGAUCACGCCCUAACGAAAUCAACUAGCUGUUGGGGCCUUCGGGCCUUGGUAGCGCAGCUAACGCGUAGUUGACCGCACAGGAUACAGUGCGAGAUUAGCUCGAGAAUUGACUGGGGCCCGCUGGCAGUGGAUGAUGUGGUUGUUCGAUGCAGCGCGAAAACCUUACCUACCCUUGACAUGUCUGGAAUCCCGAAGAGAUUUGGGAGUGCUCGCAAGAGAACCGGAACACAGGUGCUGCAUGGCUGUCGUCAGCUCGUGUCGGCGUGAGAUAUUGGGACAAAGUCCCGCAACAGGCGCAACCCUUGUCAUUGGACUACUUGCUACGAGGGCACUCUAAUGAGACUGCCGGUGACAAACCGGAGGAAGGUGGAUGACGUCAAGUCCUCGUGGCCCAUAUGGGUAGGGCCACACGUCAUACAAUGGUCGCGGGACAGAGGGUCGCCAACCCGCGAGGAAGACAAUCCCAGAAACCCGAUCAUAGUCCGGGUCGAUCACAACUCGACUGCGUGAAGUCAGAAUCGCUGGCGUACUUGGAUCAAUAGCCUUGGUGAAUACGUUCCGGGUCUUGUACACACCGCCCGUCACACCAUGGAGUGGGUUUUACCAAGUAGUUAGCCUAACCGUAAGGAGGGCGAUUACCACGGUGAUUCAUGGCUAGGGGUGAAGUCGUAACUAAUUGG
RNAcentral lists this ribosomal RNA (1467 nucleotides) under uncultured Bordetella sp. RNAcentral's name for it is "partial 16S-23S ribosomal RNA intergenic spacer". It matches the Rfam family "Bacterial small subunit ribosomal RNA". Lineage: Bacteria; Pseudomonadati; Pseudomonadota; Betaproteobacteria; Burkholderiales; Alcaligenaceae. The record is from RNAcentral.